Molecule: transfer RNA, 76 nt
Filed under: Mycoplasmatota bacterium
Lineage: Bacteria; Bacillati; Mycoplasmatota
Description: Tenericutes bacterium tRNA-Ala
Rfam family: tRNA
About the family: Transfer RNA (tRNA) molecules are approximately 80 nucleotides in length.
Source: RNAcentral
GGGGCCUUAGCUUAGCUGGGAGAGCGCCUGCCUUGCACGCAGGAGGUCAGGGGUUCGAAUCCCCUAGGCUCCACCA